GGGGGGGGGGGGGGCGGGCUCCGAGGGCAUGGAGGAACGUACCGGAAGUGGAACAUCACAUGGGCUGAUGUGCUAACUCAGCUUUUCACAGGAUAGUCGACUCUGGCUCAGGCUUUGGAUCCUGGGAAAAUACUCACUUCCUUACUUCUCUCAGCCCUCAUCUGGCUUGCCACAUUCUCCUGCAAGUGACCAGCCGACAUGGUUGAACCCAGUAGACUAUGCUACGUGGAAUAAGCCAGUCACAGAAUAUGGUAAAGUUUGCCUGGGGUCUGUGGGUCCAAAAGAAAGGCAGGCAGAAAGAAGCGUGGUAUUUUUGUUGUUGUUAUUAUUUUGUUUUUGUUUUUUGUUUUUUUCUGUGAUCUGGAUUUGAGUCUGUCUUCAUCACUUUUCAGUUGCUGUGAUAACAUACCCUGACUCACAGGGUUUGUUCUGCCUCACAGUACAAGGUAUCCAUCAAGGCAGAGCUGUGAAUCCAAUGGGAGUUUUAAGCGGCUGUCCAAAUUACAGCCACAGUCAGGAAGAAGAGCAAGGAACACAUGCUCAGCUAGGUUUCUCCAGUUAUACAGACCAGGAUUCUGGCUAGGGACUGCCAUCACCCACAGUGGGUAGGUCGUCUUACCUCAACUAAUGCAAUCAAGACAAUCUCCCACAGAAAUGUCUCCCCGAGAUCCUUCUCCAGGUGAUUCCAAUCUCUAUCAACUUGAUAAUUAAUUUAGAACACCUUGCUUUCUUAUGAGGUUGAGCAUAUUAUUUAACCGUUUUGUGUUUGGGGCCCUCGCCUAGUUGGAAGUAAAACAAGUAUGUGAACUUUACCCAGGAGAGAGUAGAAGCGGGGACAUGGCAGUUGAUUAGUACACACCACUCUGAAAAUCCAUCUGCUGAACCCUGAUGCUGGGCACUGGCAGAGAGUUGAACACUGCGCUAGAAGAGCCCCUAGGUAGCAACUGCCAAAGCCGGCUGACUGAAAUCAUCUUCCUCACUGUCCACGACAAGCCCAGCACUGUCUUAUAAAUAGGCAUUAUUUCCAUCUAGGACUCUUGCCUGCGCGUUCAUUAAUUUGAAUCCAUUGCUCCUAAUUUUAACCCCCUCCCACUAAAUGCAUCUCUGUUUUUGCUCUUACUUCAAGAAAUGAACUCAGCGAUGCCCUUUUAAUCAGAGUUGUAAGACUUCCUACAGAGUCUAGGGUCUGCCUGCUUUAGUCUUCAUUUUGUGUGAGCACACAUGCGUCUGUAGAAACCAGAUGAUCACUCUCAGGAGCAAUCCACUUGGUUUUAUCGAAACAGGGCCUCUGUUUAGCCUGAGGCUUGCCUAGUAGACUAGGCUAGCUUGUUGGGGGAACACUGGAGAUCUGUCCUUCUCUGCCUCUCCAGCCUUGGGGUUAUAAGCACCAUGUCUUUUUUUUUUUUUUUUUAAUAUGGGUGCUGGGGAUUUAACACAAGCCCUCAUGCUCGCACAGCAAGCAGUUCACCAACUGAAAUGAUGAACUUCGCCAGCCCCAAUCAGCCUCCUGUAAGUGUUUAAGUUCCUGUGAUUACAGACUGAAGUUGCCAAUGGGCUGUAUCCAAUGUUCACAGCAGAAUGUAAUAUUGUAGAUUAAGUUUCUGCUAAGCAAUUUCACAGAAAAAAAUACAAACAAAAUAUGUCAUUGGUUGAGAGUGAUGCGGUGGCAGAAUUCUUGCCUAGGACACAUGAGACUUUGGGUUCUGCCUCCCAACACUACCCCCUUCCAAAAGUCUGAAUUAUGAUGCAGAAAUUUCCUUCACACACAUCUAACAAGCGCCACACAAUGAGUACUAGAGACUUAGAAGGUUGUUAAGGUGGCCUCUGACUAGGGAACACAUGAUCUCAUGCAGGAGGUAUGUAGCCUCUAAAUGGCCACUUCAUCUCUAAACUUGAACAUUUCUAAUUCACAAUCACUGUGUAUCCUAGCAUUGCAUGGUGGCUGUUGACUUUUUUUUUUUUUAAGAAGCAAUAUAGUUAGAAGGGAAAGGGGGUUGUCAGGCAGAUGUGUGGACAGCCAUGCUGGCUACAUGUUAAGGAUUAGGGGGAACCUUGAACACAGUCCCAAAGCAAUGGACAAGACUGGCAU
Molecule: long non-coding RNA, 2089 nt
Filed under: Mus musculus (house mouse)
Lineage: Eukaryota; Metazoa; Chordata; Mammalia; Rodentia; Muridae
Description: long non-coding RNA chr1:178514199-178516288
Source: RNAcentral